RNAcentral lists this unclassified non-coding RNA (10367 nucleotides) under Venturia canescens. RNAcentral describes it as "uncharacterized LOC122410674, transcript variant X2". The record is from RNAcentral. Lineage: Eukaryota; Metazoa; Arthropoda; Insecta; Hymenoptera; Ichneumonidae.
AAAGCGCGCGCGACCGCCGAGCUGUGCUAUCUCCACACUCUCGGCUCGGUGGAACGCGCUCCGAGCGCUCAGUACGUCCUGCGCCGUUGUAAGUCGCGCCCACGCAUUCGGGACGACCCCGUAGCUUAGUCCGCGCCGUUUCGUAUUACUCGACUCGACUUUGGUGCACGAAUAGUGAAACCGGCUCGAAUCUCAUCUCCCAAGGGUCGAAGAUCUCGAGCAUUAACUUAUCAAAUUAACUGAAAACGACUCGCGCGAUUCGCUCUCCUUUUAAGCUAAAUCACUCAAAGUUUUUCGUGCAAAUUAAGGUGCGAGGUUAACAUUCUCCGCUGCAACGAUGACACUCGAAAGACCAGCUGGUCGUGACGUAACCACGACGCAUGAGAUUCCGACACGAGAAACACCGAAACAGAGUGCUGUUACAUCGACGGGGGAAAGUUAGUCAAAAAACGAAUAAUCGAAGGAAAAUCAGCCGCAGGAGGGAAACAAGUUGGAGAAGCAAAGAGAGAAUCCUGCCAAAGAGAGCUCAGUGACGAGGGAGGAAGAACAAAACGAGGAAGAUUGAAAAAAAAAACGAAAAAGCCCGCAUCAAAGUGAGUCUCAAGGUGGACAAAAAAAGUGGAGGGAAACGAAGAUCAACAAUAAAGUGACGCUCGUCGAAGGGACCUUUGAAAAUAAGCGGAAGUAGCCGGCCAUCUUUUUCUCUCGUGUCCCUCUUCGUGUGGACUUUACCCGACAGGCUUUUUCUUUCUCUCUCGAUAUUCUGCGAGAGUGAAAGGGCGACCUGAGCACAGUCGAGAUGAAGGUACCCGGACGAACGAACAAGUGACUCCGCUUCGAGCCUCGAAGCCAAAGUGAAUCAGCCAGCGGAAGUUGAGAGAAAAAAGGAUAAAGCCGAGAACGGGGAAAAGGGAAAGGGAUACGCGAGCGUGGCGGGCUCAGCGGCGGCCUGGCGGCCAAAAGUGUUGCUUCUUUCACUCGGGCAAAAGGGCCCGUGUGAUGGUCUCGGGGUGGUGCCCGUGCGUACCUCUGGGGCGCCGGGAAUCCCCGCGCCCACAGUCCAGCAUCCAUACUGCACACAAUUCAAUCGGCUAUCAUCACGGUGGCCCUUACACCGUUAGCGCCGCCACCGGUAACCCGGAAAUGGUUCAGAUGUUCUACUACGAGAAUCGCGGCAAGUGCUGCAAAAAGUUACUACGUUACGACGGAUACCCCAACAAAGUACUUCUAUUCCCUGACGAAGGUUGGGCAAGAAGCGCGAGUAGUUCCUACUGGACUCUGACGCCGUUCUGGUGGAGUAGAAGUCGGUGCAAAGUCGUCGAGGUCGCCGGAACCAGGAGGUACAGCACGCAAGCGAAAAUGGUCGACACGGGUACGGGGACGCUCUACAUCAUUGGGUCAUUCAAGAGGAUGACUGUUGACCCAGAUUUCAAGUUGUAUCUAACAUCGAACGUGUCAUCGAGCGACUUCAACAUGGGCUACAGCAUGACGGGCACCCUCGAACGAGGCUGCAAAAAAACAAACACCUUUCAGAUGACGCAUUUUGCAGUUAUACGAAGACGCGACUACGAGAAAGCCUACGAGGAUCCGAACCCCACCUAGUGUCCGUCCCCACCCGCACUCUCCGAGUGUGGGGAUUACGAGCACUACACGUAGGUUUUUCGCCUCGAUACUCGGGCUCGCGAUACAUUUCAAGUGGGAAGCAACGAGGAAAGUACGAGACGGUGUCGUUGCAGUGAGAAAACAAAAGAAAUAUCGAGGCGUGAGUCAUUCCAAAGUUUGAUAAUCGGUCGAGCUCUUCGCUGAUGCGGAAGUCGUUAGGAUAUCGAGCGGAGACUUUAUCAAUCACGAGGAGAGAGAGAACAGGUUUUUAGAAUUAGAAAACAAAAAUCGUUUUUCAUCGUCACUCACGAAUUAUCGACUGGUCGAAUUUCGAAAUCUCUGCAUUUUUGACUCUCCAUUUCUCAUAAUCUUUCAACGAUAACAGAAAGAUUCGAGGACAAAAAAAUCGAACCUUGAUUUUUGGAAUAGCCACAUUUUUUUCGUAAGAAAUACCAUUUUGAUCGGAGCUCAAUUUCCUGUAAACGUUUCAAAAUUUACCAAAAAAUGCGUCAGUUAAACUGAAACAAUAACGAAACGAAAAUCGAAAUUCAAGUCGCACGCGAAUCUUGUUUUAUUUUUGCUCAAAAACAAUGAAUUUUAACGAAUCGAUGGCUGUUGUCUGUACGUAAAAACAGCCACUAUUAUUAUCUUUACUUUUAUUAUGAUCAUGAGGCAAACGGGACAUUUUCUCGGUCAGUCACGUUCGUUCACGAUCGUCGGUGAGACUGAGGAAAAUUCACGGAAAUUCCGGAUCCGCCAUCGUUCCAAAACGAGAUCGUCCUUUACGAAGGGAAGAGAAAAAGAGACAAAGAGCGGGGGCGGGAGAGGGAGAGGAGAAUGACAAGUCGUGCCGACGUGUCUCGUUAAUCAUGGUCCACUCUUUCACUAUCUGUCAUCCGGUGGAUUAUUUCCUCCAAUUAUAUUUCUCUCCCUCUCUUCGUCGUACAUUCUCGAUCAAGUGGCAUUUGCGACGAGUCGAUUUUUCGCUAGUCCUCACUCGCUGUAAAUCUCAUUUGUUCCGCAGACACGAGACUUUUGUAUAGUGCAGUAAUAUCAAAAGAAAUAAGGAUAAAAAAAAGAGCGUGCGGAGGGAGCGCGAACUUACGAAAUCCAAAGAAACGAAAAAAAAUUUAGUGACGAAACAAUUUAAUUCGAUUCAUUUCUGACAGCGCGAAUCGCGCGUUCUAGUCGAUAGUAGAAUGCAGAAAGCAAAGAAUUUUAAAAAGUUUUAAAAAAACGUCGUAAAAUAGUCUGAUAUUGAUGAUUUAUCUGGUCUCGAGAAACGAGAAAAAAAACUUUAACGAGUCCGAGACACCCCAGCAGCUACCGAGCCAAACGUCCAUUGAUAGUCUCUAAUUUAGAUGGAAUAAAUGAUCGAAUUGUUUAGGUGGAUUAAAAUUAUUGUAAAUGUUUAAGUGUAUAAAAAUUCAAAUGUGCGAGUAUGUCUGUGUAUGCGGGAGAUAAAUGAAAAAUGAGAAAGAAUAUGAAAAAAAAAAAAAAAAAAAAAAGAGAAAAGAAAUCAGCUCAACGAGCGCAAUUACCUAACGAGCCAGCACGGGCGAAAAGUAUACAAAAAAGUGAUUGAAACUUAACCAAAGUAUUAGCACGUAAGUCAACCAGAGCCAGGCAUUUUUCCAUUUAUUUUGGCUCCCAUCUCUGAGCGAAUGCGAUAGCGAAAAAAAACCAAAAUAUUGUGUACGAACGAGAUAAAUACGAGAAAGAGAGAGAGCUCCUGUUUAAUAAUAAUACUAAAAAUAAUAACGAUUAUCUUAAGAAUAAGGUAACAUUAACGAAAGCAGACGCCAAGAGCUUAUCCAUAGAGCAUUAUGCCACCGAGAAUGCACUGCGGUUCUUCUUAGGCGCCUGCUCCAUCAAAGCUUCUUCGUCGAUGAAUCACUAAUAGACGAUACAUAGUGUAAGCGAAAGUCACAAAUAACUCAACUUGCAAUCGAUAAUUUAUUUUUGCUAAUGUGUAGAAAGUUUGCGCGCGUUUGUUCCGCGAAACAAUCAAAAAGUUGAGUGCGACAGAGCAGUCGAGGGAAGAACAUCAAACGUCAUGACAACUGUCCUCGGUUUUUCUACUUUACGGAAAAGUUUUUCAGAAUUUCAUUCGAUUAUGUGUCCAUCCAAAAACAGGCAAAUCUGCUGGUACAUUUUGUGCCGGAAUAUUUUGUACUGUUAAAAAUCAUUUUGCAACAUCGUCCGAAGAUUUUAACAUUGAAAAAAUCUCUUUAAGGUAUUCACUCCUAUUAUUUUUCCAGACUUUUUCAUCUUUUUUUGUUUGUCUUACAAUUAAUGAAUUAUUGAGUUUUCGAGUCUAGGCGAAUUCGUCAGAAUUUGACGAAUUGAUGGAAUAUUCUGUUUAUUAAGCGGUAAAGCCCCUGGAUGGACACAUCCCAGUAUUGCCACAGCUUUGCUCGAAGCGUACACAGCAUCGGUUAAAAACGCCACCGCAUUAUCCAACCGAACCCUCCCACUUCGUCAUCGUUUAUUGUAAUACGUGAAUUCUCACCCGUGCCAAUAGAACCCACCACACCGUUGUUCCAAUCUAUUGAGAAAUUACUCUUCUGUUCAAACCCACAUGCCCGUUGGUCGUUCAACGAAAUUAAGGUAUUCCUUUCGCGAGCCCGAAUAUUCUACAAAUAACUGAUUUUAAAUUACAGUCAAGUUAAAGUGCAUGCGAAUAGAUUGGCGAAAUUUCAGGUCGGGUUAUCGAACGUUUAAUAAAGAAUGAAAACGUGAAAAAUCGUAAAAUUUGGGAGCUUAUGGAGAUCCCAUCGUCACCAAUUUUCUAUUCGAUAGUUCAAUUACUGAAUCAUUUUAAAUUCUUGAUACAAAUUGUCUCUGAAUCAGUCCAAACUUCGAGUGCCCCAAUUUGCGCAACCAAAAAAUACGUUCAUGCGAAUGGAAUACCUUAACGAACGCAAUGCACUAAUCGUAUUUUGCGAAUAGAAACGAGCGAGCAUUGUAUCGGAGUAUAAAUUUCUAACAGGCAUUUUUCGAGUAGUCGUUCACUACGAUGCAAAAAAAGAAAAGUGUCAAAAAACCGUCGAUUCCGACGCAGUGUUUUAGGUUCUCCAAAUUACGUUACAAAAAACAUCGUCGAAUAUUUUUCUAAUCAGAAUUUCAUCUUCAACCCACAAUAAUCAGUGUAAAAAAAUUCCAGACUCACAACAUUUUAUUUCUGAAGGAAAAAUAAGCAAAAAAACGAGCGAAUGAAAAAUUUGAUCUCAAGCACAGGUGUUUCAAUCUCUAGAAAAAUUUUGGUCAAUUUUUUGAGAAAUCUCGGUUCAAAGAAGACGGAAAAAUGCUUCGCGAUCACUGGCCGGGGGACGAGGUCGUUUUUUUGUCGUUUAGAUCGCCGCCAAUGAAAAUUUCGUUGUGAAUGAAUCGCGCACGGGAUGCAUUGAGUGCUUAUCGGUAUAGUGAUAUUGAAACGUGAAUUCGCGUUACAGGGUUUAAGCGAGUUGAGCUUGACGAGAUCGAUCUGAAAUUCUAUAAAAAUUGUGCAACGAUCGGCCUCAUCGCCUAAUCCUAUAUAAAUAUAUAAAAGUCGAGGGAAAAACAAACAGAGUAUGGUAAAUUAUUUUUGUGUCUCUGAAAGGAGUGCGUGUUGAAAAAAUGAUCGAAAGCAGAUCGAUCCCGUCGAGACGAGGGACGGAAGUGAGAGAGGAAAAAAAAUCUUUCAAAUAUUGAGGCCAUCGUCGAGAACCGCUGGCGCAGUUUGUGUGAAAAAUAAACAUUUCUCGUAGAUCUCUAAUAACGAAUCGUUAGCGAUAAAACAAAAGUAAUUAAACGUACUACGAUAUUUAGGUGAUUUAUCUGUCGGUGUUUAGAAAUCUCGAUGUCAAGCUUAACACUCACGGUCUUUCUAGUCUCAUAGGAACAUUGUGGAAAUUUCGGGUUUCUCCAUUCAUUGGAAGCGUCAGUAUUUUUUUGGAUUUUGAGAGAGACGAUUUGAUACUUUCAUGAGAGUCGUUCGAUCACAAUUGAUGAGAAACUUUAUUGAAUUUUUAUAAGAAAAUGAGAUUUUUCUCGAGAAGGAAUUGCUGAGGAAUAAAAAUGAAUUCAGUAUCGAUUCGAUGCCCAAUUAUUGUGACUGAAUGAAUUUACCUUCGAUUCGAAUUUUCCUUCAUAUUCGUCGCAUAAUCUCCGGUUAUAUUCUGCAUUUCUUUGCCCUGGUUUCGUACUCGAGCUUUUAGCAUUUUCACGAGUAUUUUCUUCGCCGUAUAGUUGAUCGUAAUACCGCAAAUUUCACCGCUAAUGGUCACGUCAGAAGUGCUUUCUCUCUCUUUGCCUCCCCCCCCCCCCCCACCCGCCCCUUUGGCUUCCUCGCUCUCACUUUUGGUCAGCAUUCGCGUUAUUUUACGCCAGUAGUUACUACACGCCACCGUGUCUGACUCGCGGCCAGAUAAAUUCGCGUUGGACCAUUUGCAUUCACGGAUUAACGCUCUCCGCGCUCGCUGCUUCUUCUACCACGUUCACGUUCACCCGUCCGCGUUGUGGUUUGUUACCGGAAUAUAUUAUACUCGAUUUAACGAUGCAUUUCAUCCGCAGUCCCGGAGACAACGCCACUGACACUUUUUCCCCCCGUUGCUUUCCCAUUCGAAUAUUCUUAUUUUCACGAUUAAUUGAAUUUUCCUUAAUCGAGGUAGUUCUGCAAAAUGGUCCGUCCUUUUUUCCUCCGUUUUUCACGGCGACGUGAAUAAAUCGGCAAACUUUUGUGGGCGAGAAUUUGUUCGCGUAUCAACUUCGUGACGUUUGGCAUCUCAUGAAAUUUCUUUGUUUUUUACGAAUAUAAAAUUCUCACAAUUCAUUUUCUAUUCGAUUAUCCGCUUAAGGUACUUCAUGCACGAAAUUAUUUUAUUAAGAAAGUCUUGCUGAAAUUUACACAGAGUAAAUGGAUAGUCGAUUGAUACGCAUGUCAAAUUUUAAACGAUUCGUCUUAUUGGUUGUUUAGAUAGACGUGCUUAAAUAUGAAGAAAAAUACACAGGGGUGGCAACGGGGGUGUGAAAAAUCAUUCAUCUUUUCAUAUAACGAGUGAACGCUUCUUACGAAGUUUAUGAAAAAGUACACAACAACAGUGAAGUAUGUUAUGAAAGUCUUGGAAAAAAUUUUUAACAUAAAAAACUCGUAAUUUCAUUAUCGCCAAAAGAUGAGUUGAAAAAAUGUAUUUACAAUUUUGAAUGAAUAACUCUGACAUUAAUUUAGAGUGCUGAUAAUAUCUUUAAUUACGAAGUAAAAAUCGAGCGAAUUUAGCGACGCCCUUAAAAUACGAUCGUUCGGGCAUGAUCUACCUUAAACCACUAGAAUUGAUCGGGUGAACCGAACCUUUUUCCUGCUUUUUCCCCAUCACGCGACAACAAUGACGAUAAUUCGUGAAAUUUUGACAACUCGCAAUAAUGAAACGCACGAGACCAAAGUAAAAUAUGAACACUCGAAUUAUCGUGGCACGAAAUUGGAAGGUGUAACCGUGGGAUAACGCCGAAAUUUCAAGCCCGCCCGCGAUCGCUACAGAUAGUAUUUUCUAAUCAAAUAAUUUUCGUUUGAAUGAGAUAGCGAAUCGAAAUUCUGUGCGAUAUUACGAGCGCGUUAAAUUAUCACGAGUAUUCGGAAAUGCUCGAUAAUCACGUUUUCACGAUUCGUAUAUGUAUGUAAUGUACAUGCCCCUGUGUAUACCUGUACACACAUAUAUUUGCGCGUAAACCCGAUCCGAAUAGUAAAAGCGAUUGGGGAAAUGUUACGAGCUUUCCCAGUCAAACGAGGGCCAAAGUUCAUUUAUAUAACAAGUCCCUUGCACACGUAACGAAUCAAUUAACGAGACUCUCCCGUCACGUACACGCAUUUAUGUGUGUGUAUGCAGAUAUUAGCGAGAGCAGAGAGGGGAGCAAAGGCUAGGGAGAGUGAGUCGUUAUGUUCGAGGGGUUUUUUCUUCCUUCCAAAUCCGAGGCUAGAAUCGUCGUGAGUUUCAUUUUGCGCUUAGCUAGUCGCGCCUCUUUUUCGCGAUGUGAGGGGGGAAAAACGAAAGCAUCGUUGCGCUAACUAGAGUGUAAUAGGGGGUUGAGUAAAGGCCAAUUUUUCGCUGAGUCUACGUAGUUUCAGUGUUGUUUAGCGGAGCAUUAAAGCAAAAAGACGAAGCGCUUCAUCUCGUUGUGUAUUAAAAAAGCCAAAAUGAUAAUUCAAGUCCGCGAAAAUUUUUCACUAGUCGAGUAUCAUAGGGGAAAAAAAAAAGAAGAAAAAACGAACGAAAAGAUUAAAAAGUAACAGAACAUGAAAGUGCAUCGAGCGAUGCAUUAUUCUAUUCUUUCGUCUAGUUUUAAAACUUUAGGAUACUAAAGAAAACGUUUUUCGUAGGAUGUUUUUCGAUGAUAAGUACACGUCCGAUAUCACGGUCCCUCCUGAACUACUUAGCAGUAGAGCAGACCCAAGAAAUGCACGCUUUCCUCGAGACUAUUUGAAUGAAAAAAAAAGAAAAAGAAAAAGGCAAACAGUCGAUAAUCUUCGUCAGCUGAUGCACUCGGGUCUUCUAGUCGUUUUUAUCUUGUUUCUCAAUAAUUUUGUCUCGUUUAUUCUCUCCGUUGACUUUUUAUAUCUCACAGUGAACGCAAUCCUGUUCCGACUUCCGUCCGAACGGACUUAAAUUAAUAAGCUCAAUGAAAAUCGACCCUAAAUUAUAGAGAAAAUUCUUUAUCCGAGUUAGACGUUUUUAGAAAAAGUAUUUUAGACGAUGGUUGAAUGUUUCGUUACGUUUUACAACGAUUUUAUUUUGUACAGAGACGCGCUCGUAUCGUUUGUAGUGAGCUUGACCUUUAUGCGCGGACACGAUUCGAAUCGAUACGAGUUUGGGCGGAAGUUUGAAUCGGAAUGAUUCCGAGAAGCGUGAAAUGUGUAGAUUAGAUUAUUAGAUCGAUAGUGUUUUAAUAGUGUGUAUUUAUUCGUGUAGCGUCGACAUUGAUCGUCCGAGUCCUUAAAGAUUCGAUAAUUCGAAUGUGUGAACGUUGUAGAUAGACAUUUUUCGUUGUUCUUUUAUUUCGUUAUCUUGAAAAAUCAAAAUACUUUUUGGGACUCGAACGAACAUUGGAUUCGAUAGUCCAACCGGGCAAAUAGUGCAAUUGGAAAAUCUCCGUUCGUUCCACGAGGAACGAACGGCGGAGAUCACUGGAUUGGGAGAGGGAGAAUCAAAGUUUCGAAAAGUGUAGAAAAUUUUCGAGAUACCUUCGCGGUAAUGAGAAAUGAAAAAAAAACGAAAACGAAUAAAAAAGCACAAAAUUUUACUAUCGCAAUCCAGCGUGUCGGAUUAGUCAUCGGUGUGUAGAAAUUCUAGCAGCUAAAUAGUAGAGAACUGAAUUUAUUAUUAUUCUUAUUAUCGCUAUAAAGUUACGAUAAUUGGUAAUGAUCUUGCGAAAUAAUAAAGAAAAUUGCAAAUGUUUUUGCAAUUCGGUUUUUUUCAAUAUUCGUAUUCAAAGCUAUGGCUGUGAUCGUAAAAUUAAUUGAUAAAACAAAAAAUAAGAUAAAAAAUAAGAGGGGAGGGGCGGAGAGAGGGGGCAGAGGAAAAGAUAAAAGUGGUUCAUAUAUGUGUAUAUUAUAAUGUAUUCGACGAUUAUGUGCAUAGAAUUACGUUGUACAAUGUACAUUAAACGGGAGAGAAUGGGGGGAAAAAAAGUGAAGAAAUAUUUUGAAAACGCAAUCGUUCAAUAAGUUUAUUUAAUAUAUUCAAAAUUGUAAAGUGAUUCUUCCUUAUGAAAAUCUACAAGUGCGAAGAAAAUUGAUUGAACCCGAAGGAGUCAAAAUUCGGGAAGGAUCACUCCAAGUUUUUUUCGUUAUCGAGAGCCAUUGAGUAUCUCGAAAUGAAUUGGCAAAAUGUUGAAAAUUUUUUACGUUUAUUUUAUGAAAAAUAGUUGUAAACUGUAAAUAAAUAAUGUCCGAGGUCGCUCGGUGUCAACGAAGUGAAAAGGGGGGGAGAAAGAAGAGAAAAUAAUCGUUUCCGGUGUGUGAGAGAAUCAAAGGGUAAUUCGACGAUUGUACGAGUCGCUCGAUGAAAUCAAAUCUGUAAAUAGUUGACAAGCGCGAUCCUCGAUUCCGCAAUCGUAAAAUAUUUAAUUCCAGAGAGAAAUAAAAAAAAAAAAAAAAACUGUGGAGGCAAUUAAGUCUCCUCGCGAUGCGCAACGAAUGACGAAACGCUUGAUUCCUAAAGAAAAAAAAUGAGGCGACAAGUGCGCGCUUCCUUGUAACGAUUUAACUUCGAUUUCGUCGUUCGUCAAAGCCAAUGAAAAAUAAAAUAUUAAGUUGCGAAAUACUAAGCGCUCAAACGAUCAUGGGAAGUAACGGAGAAGCCAAAAACCCAACCGAAAAUCCGUAAACGCAUUACGAAUCUUGAAAUAAUCAGUUUUCUUACAUAUUUUGAGUAACUUUCAGUGACGUUCGCCGAACAAAAGCACCGCUAAUGCGCCCAUAGAAAGCACGCUAUUUAUUGACAACUACAAACCAAAAACAGGUACGAAAAAACAUCGACGGAUGAGACAAAGAUUGUUGACAAUUAAUCAAAGAAUUAUCGAAAAGAAACGAAUAACUCGUGCGUCUUACGGUUCAGGAGCGCAACAACGAUCGACGGAAAUGCGUUUACGUGAAAACAGAGCCAAAUACUUCGAUGUAUUUUCACUACAGUCCUGUCUACAGUCAAUUCAUUUUGUAUCUAUACCUAAUCUAUAUGUAUCUAUUGUCAUAAUUUAAUGCCAAAUAAAUGUUACAUUUACGCAGAUAAAAA